GUACCCUUAGCUCAGCUGGAUAGAGUGUCUGACUACGAAUCAGAAGGUCGGGGGUUCGAAUCCCUCAGGGUACGCCA
This 77-nucleotide transfer RNA is filed under the name Tissierellaceae bacterium. RNAcentral describes it as "tRNA-Arg". It matches the Rfam family "tRNA". Rfam says of the family: Transfer RNA (tRNA) molecules are approximately 80 nucleotides in length. Their secondary structure includes four short double-helical elements and three loops (D, anti-codon, and T loops). The record is from RNAcentral. RNAcentral also lists the same sequence under 2 other names. Lineage: Bacteria; Bacillati; Bacillota; Tissierellia; Tissierellales; Tissierellaceae.